UUAAUGGCCAGAUGAUCAGGGUCACACUUUGGGAGCCCCCACUUCAUGUGCUAUGCUGAUUUAACACUUGCAGUGCCAAAAUGAUUCUCCAUUCCUUGAGUGCUCUUUAGAGUGAACCUGUCAUUUGUAUUUAAUUUGUGAAAGCUUAAAAAAUACAUAUAUACCAAAACAAAUACUUGUGUGAGCAAGAUUGAAAUGUUCUAUAAAUUGCAUAACCUGAUUUACUAUCAGUAAUUAAUUCAUAAGACAUGAUCUAUGAAUAAUUCCUGGCUGCAUUAUAACAUUAGCAAACGCACAGCUGGGUGUGCUUGUUAUUAGGUAAGAAUAAUGCUUACUGCUCACUGUAGUGGUUAUGGUGCCAGGAGUCAGUAAACUGUUUUAGAACAAUUUAACACUUACCUUUCUUUGAAAGGCCUGCACACUUCUUUCGGUCUGAGCUGGUAUGGUGAGACAGAAGUUCAUACCUCUGCAUUAUCAUACCAAAUUUGGACUGUAGGGCAAGCACUGUAAACGCUUCAUCUUAUUGGAGAGGUUUUGGGGUAAAGAGUCCCACGGCGAUGUCCUUCCAUUCAGUGUAAAACUUUUUAAAUCUUUCAAUGUUAAAUACAAAAUCUCCUGCAGCCCAUCCUCUCUGUGCUGCGUGGGUUAAUGAGGAAGCAUUGGCGUGAGCAGCAAAGGGCAGCUGUGAUUGGCUGAGGGUGUCAGCUGACUAUAUUCAUCCUAUCACAGCACCCAAUGUCAGUAUGAGUUGGUACAUCUUCGAGGAAGUGUGUAAUCUCUGCCUUAUAUAUAUAAAAUAACUGGAUACUAACUUAGAGUGGUAGUGGGAGUUAAAAGCAUAAACAAGUCCACUAUGGGUACCACUCACCACCUUCCAGUAACCCAGGGAUAUAAAGGGCAUAAAAGUAAGUAGUAAAGAGCAGCAAAAGCGUUUCAGCGUUUCAUCCACAGUCUGCAAUUUAUAUCGUCUUUCACAUAGGGAACACGUGUUUCCAAUAUCUGGUAAUCAGGCUCAGCCGCAACAUAAUCGCUGACUCUCCCAGAUGACAUGGACUCGUGGUACGCAACGCACUCUAAAUUAGUAUCCG
Molecule: non-coding RNA, 1088 nt
Organism: Pelobates cultripes (western spadefoot toad)
Lineage: Eukaryota; Metazoa; Chordata; Amphibia; Anura; Pelobatidae
Source: the annotation of a GenBank genome assembly